RNAcentral lists this transfer RNA (70 nucleotides) under Dactyloptena tiltoni (plain helmet gurnard). RNAcentral describes it as "tRNA-Trp". It matches the Rfam family "tRNA". From Rfam's summary of the family: Transfer RNA (tRNA) molecules are approximately 80 nucleotides in length. Their secondary structure includes four short double-helical elements and three loops (D, anti-codon, and T loops). The record is from RNAcentral. Lineage: Eukaryota; Metazoa; Chordata; Actinopteri; Syngnathiformes; Dactylopteridae.
AGGGGCUUAGGUAAGACCAGACCAAGGACCUUCAAAGCCCUAAGCGAGGGUGAAAGCCCCCCAGCCCCUG